RNAcentral lists this ribosomal RNA (494 nucleotides) under uncultured bacterium. RNAcentral's name for it is "partial 16S ribosomal RNA". It matches the Rfam family "Bacterial small subunit ribosomal RNA", at positions 28 to 507 of the family's 1533-position model. The record is from RNAcentral.
GACGAGCGCUGGCGGCGUGCUUAACACAUGCAAGUCGAACGGUGAAGCGCCUUCCUUUUUGGUGGGUGUGGAUGAGUGGCGAACGGGUGAGUAACACGUGAGUAACCUGCCCCCUUCUUCUGGAUAACCGCAUGAAAGUGUGGCUAAUACGGGAUAUUCUGGGUCUGUCGCAUGAUGGGUCUGGGAAAGAUAUUGUUUCGGUGGGGGAUGGGCUCGCGGCCUAUCAGCUUGUUGGUGGGGUGAUGGCCUACCAAGGCGGUGACGGGUAGCCGGCCUGAGAGGGUGGACGGUCACACUGGGACUGAGACACGGCCCAGACCCCUACGGGAGGCAGCAGUGGGGAAUAUUGCACAAUGGGCGCAAGCCUGAUGCAGCGACGCCGCGUGAGGGAUGGAGGCCUUCGGGUUGUGAACCUCUUUCGCCAGUGAAGCAGGCCUGCCUCGUUUGUGGGUGGGUUGACGGUAGCUGGAUAAGAAGCGCCGGCUAACUACGUG